This 253-nucleotide ribosomal RNA is filed under the name uncultured bacterium. Its description in RNAcentral is "partial 16S ribosomal RNA". It matches the Rfam family "Bacterial small subunit ribosomal RNA", at positions 524 to 776 of the family's 1533-position model. The record is from RNAcentral.
UACGUAGGGUGCAAGCGCUAAUCGGAAUUACUGGGCGUAAAGCGUGCGCAGGCGGUUGUGCAAGACAGAUGUGAAAUCCCCGGGCUCAACCUGGGAACUGCAUUUGUGACUGCACGGCUGGAGUGCGGCAGAGGGGGAUGGAAUUCCGCGUGUAGCAGUGAAAUGCGUAGAUAUGCGGAGGAACACCGAUGGCGAAGGCAAUCCCCUGGGCCUGCACUGACGCUCAUGCACGAAAGCGUGGGGAGCAAACAGG